Molecule: ribosomal RNA, 281 nt
Filed under: Salmonella enterica subsp. enterica serovar Enteritidis
Lineage: Bacteria; Pseudomonadati; Pseudomonadota; Gammaproteobacteria; Enterobacterales; Enterobacteriaceae
Description: partial 16S ribosomal RNA
Rfam family: Bacterial small subunit ribosomal RNA
Source: RNAcentral
GAACGCUGGCGGCAGGCCUAACACAUGCAAGUCGAACGGUAACAGGAAGCAGCUUGCUGCUUCGCUGACGAGUGGCGGACGGGUGAGUAAUGUCUGGGAAACUGCCUGAUGGAGGGGGAUAACUACUGGAAACGGUGGCUAAUACCGCAUAACGUCGCAAGACCAAAGAGGGGGACCUUCGGGCCUCUUGCCAUCAGAUGUGCCCAGAUGGGAUUAGCUUGUUGGUGAGGUAACGGCUCACCAAGGCGACGAUCCCUAGCUGGUCUGAGAGGAUGACCAGC